GGGGGCGUGGCGAAACGGCAGACGCCGAGGACUUAAAAUCCUCUGUCCGCGAGGACGUGCAGGUUCGAAUCCUGCCGCCCCUA
Candidatus Rokubacteria bacterium 13_2_20CM_69_10 is the source of this 83-nucleotide non-coding RNA. The record is from Rfam. NCBI's taxonomy places the organism in Bacteria, Candidatus Rokuibacteriota.